AGCAUAAUUAUUUGAUAUAUAUUGCAAAAUGAUCACCACAAGAAGUCUGGUGAACAUCUGUCACUAGAAAUAGUUAUAAUUUUCUUCUUGUGAUGAGAACAUCUAAGAUCUCUUAGCAGUGUUCAAAUAGGCAGAGGCGACCAAUUUCACAGAGCAUGCAUGAAAAAGCUGUAUAUUUCAAAGAAUCCUGCUAUGGGAUAGAUCCUUAGCACCAUCUCAGAGCUGGAUGGGAUGGAUGUGGAUUUAGCACUCGUCACUGAUUCAGCAUGCCAGGAUCUUGGUGUACAUAUCAACUUUAUGUGAAUCCCUGUUCAGGCACUUGAACAGGUUAUAAAAUGCAGAAUGACGUACAUCUUCAUCGUUGGACAGCAGGAAUGGAAUUGCUGACCAGUACAAGUGUUCCUUCUCCAACUUCCAUCUGAGUGGAAGAAUAAUCUGAAUACCCAAAAGAUAAAUGACUUCUUACAAUGGCAGGUAAAUCUCCAGAAGGUCAUCCAAGAACAUUAUCUGCUCAGCACCCAGGACCCCAUCAGUGGCUCUG
Molecule: non-coding RNA, 541 nt
Organism: Odocoileus virginianus texanus
Lineage: Eukaryota; Metazoa; Chordata; Mammalia; Artiodactyla; Cervidae
Source: RefSeq, a predicted model, not a curated record